UCGAGAAUCUUCCGCAAUGGGCGAAAGCCUGACGGAGCGACGCCGCGUGAGGGACGAAGGCCUUAGGGUUGUAAACCUCUUUCGCCUGUUAUGAAUGUCUGUGCGUUAAUAGCGUGCAGGUUGACGAAGGCAGGUAAAGAAGCACCGGCUAACUCCGUGCCAGCAGCCGCGGUAAGACGGAGGGUGCAAGCGUUACUCGGAAUUACUGGGCGUAAAGGGUCCGUAGGCGGAUCAGCAAGUUGGAUGUGAAAUCCCUCGGCUCAACCGAGGAACUGCGUCCAAAACUGCUGUUCUAGAGGUCGGUAGGGGACAGUGGAACUCCAGGUGGAGCGGUGAAAUGCGUAGAGAUCUGGAGGAACAUCAGUGGCGAAAGCGACUGUCUGGGCCGUACCUGACGCUGAGGGACGAAAGCCAGGGGAGCGAACGGG
This 428-nucleotide ribosomal RNA is filed under the name uncultured bacterium. Its description in RNAcentral is "bacterial SSU rRNA". It matches the Rfam family "Bacterial small subunit ribosomal RNA", at positions 355 to 776 of the family's 1533-position model. The record is from RNAcentral.